GACGAACGCUGGCGGCGUGCUUAACACAUGCAAGUCGAACGGAAAGGUCCUGCUUUUGUGGGGUGCUCGAGUGGCGAACGGGUGAGUAACACGUGAGUAACCUGCCCUUGACUUUGGGAUAACUUCAGGAAACUGGGGCUAAUACCGGAUAGGAGCUCUUGCUGCAUGGUGGGGGUUGGAAAGUUUCGGCGGUUGGGGAUGGACUCGCGGCUUAUCAGCUUGUUGGUGGGGUAGUGGCUUACCAAGGCUUUGACGGGUAGCCGGCCUGAGAGGGUGACCGGCCACAUUAGGCCUGAGAUACGGCCCAGACUCCUACGGGAGGCAGCGGUGGGGAAUAUUGCACAGUGGGCGGAAGCCUGGUGCGACAACGCCGCGUGCGGGAUGACGGCCUUCGGGUUGUAAACCACUUUCGCCUGUGACGAAGCGUGAGUGACGGUAAUGGGUAAAGAAGCACCGGCUAACUACGUG
RNAcentral lists this ribosomal RNA (468 nucleotides) under uncultured bacterium. Its description in RNAcentral is "partial 16S ribosomal RNA". It matches the Rfam family "Bacterial small subunit ribosomal RNA", at positions 28 to 507 of the family's 1533-position model. The record is from RNAcentral.